GUUUCCUACGGGAGGCAGCAGUGGGGAAUAUUGCACAAUGGGGGAAACCCUGAUGCAGCGACGCCGCGUGAGUGAAGAAGUAUUUCGGUAUGUAAAGCUCUAUCAGCAGGGAAGAAAAAAAGUCUUUGGCUUUGGACGGUACCUGACUAAGAAGCCCCGGCUAACUACGUGCCAGCAGCCGCGGUAAUACGUAGGGGGCAAGCGUUAUCCGGAUUUACUGGGUGUAAAGGGAGCGUAGACGGCAGCGCAAGUCCGGAGUGAAAUGCCGGGGCUCAACCCCGGAACUGCUUUGGAAACUGUGCAGC
RNAcentral lists this ribosomal RNA (305 nucleotides) under uncultured bacterium. RNAcentral describes it as "bacterial SSU rRNA". It matches the Rfam family "Bacterial small subunit ribosomal RNA", at positions 334 to 641 of the family's 1533-position model. The record is from RNAcentral.